GACAGAGGGUGCAAACGUUGCUCGGAAUCACUGGGCGUAAAGGGCGUGUAGGCGGGAAGGAAAGUCAGAUGUGAAAUCCCUGGGCUCAACCCAGGAACUGCAUUUGAAACUCCCUUUCUUGAGUGUCGGAGAGGAAAGUGGAAUUCCUGGUGUAGAGGUGAAAUUCGUAGAUAUCAGGAGGAACACCGGUGGCGAAGGCGGCGACCUGGGUCGAUACUGACGCUGAUGCGCGAAAGCGUGGGGAGCAAACAGG
RNAcentral lists this ribosomal RNA (253 nucleotides) under uncultured bacterium. RNAcentral's name for it is "partial 16S ribosomal RNA". It matches the Rfam family "Bacterial small subunit ribosomal RNA", at positions 524 to 776 of the family's 1533-position model. The record is from RNAcentral.